RNAcentral lists this non-coding RNA (24 nucleotides) under Arabidopsis thaliana (thale cress). The record is from RNAcentral. Lineage: Eukaryota; Viridiplantae; Streptophyta; Magnoliopsida; Brassicales; Brassicaceae.
AUCCUUGUUUGAGAAACACGCUCA